CCAAAAACAUCUCUCUUUGUAUAAUAUAAAUAAAGAGUUGGGCCUGCUCGGUGAAACGUUUUAACAGCUGCGGUAUUUUAACUGUACUAAGGUAGCAUAAUAAUUUGCCUUAUAAUUUGAGGCUAGAAUGAAUGGUUUGACGAAGGUUAAUCUGUCUCUGCUUUAUUUUUUAGAAAUUAAUUUUCAUAGUGAAAAAGCUUGAAUUUCUUAAGGGGACGAGAAGACCCUACUGAGCUUAUAAUUUUAUUAUCACAUAUAUUUAUGUAUAAUGUGCUAUAUAAAUUUUAAUUGGGGUGAUUAAGGAAUAAUAUAGCUAUUUUAUAACUUCCUUAGAUAUUAUAUUGUUGAAUUAAGUAACCGAUUAAUUAAUAGAAUUGUAUUAUGUAUUGCUUAUAAUAUAGUUACCAUAGGGAUAACAGCGUAAUUUACUUAGAGAGUUCUUAUUGAAAAGUAAGAUUGCGACCUCGAUGUUGGAUUAAAGUGACCUUAAGGUGC
This 495-nucleotide ribosomal RNA is filed under the name Uroteuthis chinensis. Its description in RNAcentral is "partial large subunit ribosomal RNA". It matches the Rfam family "Bacterial large subunit ribosomal RNA", at positions 1807 to 2556 of the family's 2925-position model. The record is from RNAcentral. Lineage: Eukaryota; Metazoa; Mollusca; Cephalopoda; Myopsida; Loliginidae.